This 465-nucleotide ribosomal RNA is filed under the name uncultured bacterium. RNAcentral describes it as "partial 16S ribosomal RNA". It matches the Rfam family "Bacterial small subunit ribosomal RNA", at positions 28 to 505 of the family's 1533-position model. The record is from RNAcentral.
GACGAACGCUGGCGGCGUGCUUAACACAUGCAAGUCGAACGGAAAGGCCUCUUUCGGGGGGUACUCGAGUGGCGAACGGGUGAGUAACACGUGAGUAACCUGCCCUUGACUUUGGGAUAACUUCAGGAAACUGGGGCUAAUACCGGAUAGGAGCUCCUGCUGCAUGGUGGGGGUUGGAAAGUUUCGGCGGUUGGGGAUGGACUCGCGGCUUAUCAGCUUGUUGGUGGGGUAGUGGCUUACCAAGGCUUUGACGGGUAGCCGGCCUGAGAGGGUGACCGGCCACAUUGGGACUGAGAUACGGCCCAGACUCCUACGGGAGGCAGCAGUGGGGAAUAUCGCACAAUGGGUGGAAGCCUGAUGCAGCAACGCCGUGUGCGGGAUGACGGCCUUCGGGUUGUAAACCGCUUUCGCUCAUGACGAAGCUUUGUGUGACGGUAGUGGGUAAAGAAGCACCGGCUAACUACG